Long non-coding RNA from Papaver somniferum (opium poppy), 1475 nucleotides. RefSeq lists it as uncharacterized. NCBI's taxonomy places the organism in Eukaryota, Viridiplantae, Streptophyta, Magnoliopsida, Ranunculales, Papaveraceae. The transcript has 3 exons. The record is from RefSeq and is a predicted model, not a curated record.
GGGGAUCAGAAUGUCAUCUUGAGUGGACAAAAAAUGACGAUGAUGCGGACUCUAACGAAGAAGGUGACAUACUGAUUCGUUCUAGAAGGGCAAGAAAACGUCCUGGGCAGUUUAGCAAACAGGUUAAAAGUUUUCCAUUGGCAAAAUCCCUGAAUGAGACCAAGGUCAUAAGGGGCGAUAUCAUGGGAAAACCAAUUCAGGUUAUUCUUGGCCGCCGUCAGAAAGAAUGGGAGUUGAGGAACUGUGGAAUAUUUUUUGUACUGGCGUGGGCGAUUAAUUGAGGUGAGCUAUUGUUGCAUAUCAUGGUAACUUUUAGUUCUCAUCUGUAUCAUGCGUUGGAUGCCCUUAGUUUAUUAUGCCCCUGUGACAAAUUUCGAACCUUGUAACUUUCUUUUAUAUCAAAAUUUCUGUGAACAAAUCUUUUGUAUUACGGGUUUUGUGAAAUGAGAUUUUAUACUUCAUUGAAUAAGUAUUUCCUGUUUCUUAAAAAACAAAAGGAAAAUUUUCCAUUGCUUGUGUAUGAAAAUGCGUGUGACACUACGUCUGAUCCUUUGUGUAACUAUUCUGCUCUCUUCCUUGGGAUUACAAGAGAGUCGGAGGUAUGAUGCAUACUUCUGAUAUGGGUCUAGGAGUAAUUGGUGUUGCAGAUGUUACCGAUGUAAUGGUACGGCACCGAUUCUUAAUUUUUUGCAUGGCAGUUUAUUACCUUCUCAAUUUCUUAAAUAUCGCAAUGGUGCUAUGUGUAUUUUCUCAGCAAAGAUGGACGAUUUUCAGGGCCACUGACUCGUGUUCUAAAGUUUAACUUCUUUUUAUUCACCGCGAUGGGAAUCAUGAUUUAAUAAAAACCACCAAGCAAGGUUUUCAGGAAUCCCCAGCAUAUACAAUGUUGGAGGACUGGUUGGGUGACAUAACAGAUGAGUAUUGGGAUGAACAUUUUGAACAACUUAGAGAAAAGAAGGCAACCUGUUUUGAUUUGUUAAGUUGUUUAUUUGAGUCUUAAUAUCAUGCAGAAAAUGUUUAUUUGCUUAUGUGCUGAUCCCUUCAUGCUGUACUUGUAUGACUUUGAUUCAUCCAGGGAAAGAAGAAAGCACAGUAUAAACCCGAUUAUGAAUGGGUUCAAUGCGAAAAAUGCAGAAAGUGGAGGAUUUUGACAACUGAUUUCAGGAACGAAACGUCAUCCGAAAGAUGGUACUUCUGCGACAUGCCACCUCUUAGGGAAGAUUGUGAAACUCCUGAAGAUGAACUUGGCCCUGGAGCGUGCUUUGCUUAGGUUCAAAAUUGAAUAGGAAAGUGUUCAAGUCCAAUCCGGAAAACCAUCUUUUUGUGCAAGAUAUGUUGUGACGGCUUCCAAAGCCUUGAUCUGUAAGAUAAAUUUUCUGGCUUCGAAAACUCAUACAUGGCGCCAGUUCUGAUGUUUAUGUCAACUCUUAUUAACCUGUCGUUCUAUAUUUUCUCGUCGUCUGAGAUACAGAAUA